RNAcentral lists this long non-coding RNA (211 nucleotides) under Gossypium raimondii (Peruvian cotton). RNAcentral's name for it is "long non-coding RNA (GRAI_LNC011061)". Lineage: Eukaryota; Viridiplantae; Streptophyta; Magnoliopsida; Malvales; Malvaceae. The record is from RNAcentral.
AAAAAAACUAAGCAUAUUAUGGAAGUUGAUCUAAAUAAUAUAUGAUGUAUUUGGGUUUUUAUUAUUAGAAUAAAGCAGCCAGGGUUCAUUGUAUCCAUGGUUGCUUGGUUUGUGUAUGUGUGUGUAUGUAUAUAUAUAUAGUGAAAUGAAAGUAUUUUAACUAGCUUUGUUGUGUUACUGCCAUGCUAUAUAACUGAUGAAUGAAUGAAGC